Molecule: ribosomal RNA, 301 nt
Filed under: uncultured bacterium
Lineage: Bacteria
Description: partial 16S ribosomal RNA
Rfam family: Bacterial small subunit ribosomal RNA
Source: RNAcentral
CAGUAGCCACGGGAAUACGUAGGGUGCAAGCGUUAAUCGGAAUUACUGGGCGUAAAGCGUGCGCAGGCGGUUAUAUAAGACAGAUGUGAAAUCCCCGGGCUCAACCUGGGAACUGCAUUUGUGACUGUAUAGCUAGAGUACGGCAGAGGGGGAUGGAAUUCCGCGUGUAGCAGUGAAAUGCGUAGAUAUGCGGAGGAACACCGAUGGCGAAGGCAAUCCCCUGGGCCUGUACUGACGCUUAUGCACGAAAGCGUGGGGAGCAAACAGGAUUAGAUACCCCCGUAGUCCCUGUCUCUUAUAC